Molecule: non-coding RNA, 26 nt
Filed under: Homo sapiens (human)
Lineage: Eukaryota; Metazoa; Chordata; Mammalia; Primates; Hominidae
Source: RNAcentral
UGGCAGGGCCAGAGAGGCAGCAUGGU